RNAcentral lists this ribosomal RNA (895 nucleotides) under uncultured bacterium. RNAcentral describes it as "bacterial SSU rRNA". It matches the Rfam family "Bacterial small subunit ribosomal RNA", at positions 376 to 1276 of the family's 1533-position model. The record is from RNAcentral.
CGCAAGCCUGAUCCAGCCAUGCCGCGUGCAGGAUGACGGUCCUAUGGAUUGUAAACUGCUUUUAUACGAGAAGAAACACUACUUCGUGAAGUAGCUUGACGGUAUCGUAAGAAUAAGGAUCGGCUAACUCCGUGCCAGCAGCCGCGGUAAUACGGAGGAUCCAAGCGUUAUCCGGAAUCAUUGGGUUUAAAGGGUCCGUAGGCGGUUUAAUAAGUCAGUGGUGAAAGCCCAUCGCUCAACGGUGGAACGGCCAUUGAUACUGUUAGACUUGAAUUAUUAGGAAGUAACUAGAAUAUGUAGUGUAGCGGUGAAAUGCUUAGAGAUUACAUGGAAUACCAAUUGUGAAGGCAGGUUACUACUAAUUGAUUGACGCUGAUGGACGAAAGCGUGGGUAGCGAACAGGAUUAGAUACCCUGGUAGUCCACGCCGUAAACGAUGGAUACUAGCUGUUGGAAGCAAUUUCAGUGGCUAAGCGAAAGUGAUAAGUAUCCCACCUGGGGAGUACGUUCGCAAGAAUGAAACUCAAAGGAAUUGACGGGGGCCCGCACAAGCGGUGGAGCAUGUGGUUUAAUUCGAUGAUACGCGAGGAACCUUACCAAGGCUUAAAUGUAGAUUGACCGUUUUGGAAACAGAACUUUCGCAAGACAAUUUACAAGGUGCUGCAUGGUUGUCGUCAGCUCGUGCCGUGAGGUGUCAGGUUAAGUCCUAUAACGAGCGCAACCCCUGUUGUUAGUUGCCAGCGAGUCAAGUCGGGAACUCUAACAAGACUGCCAGUGCAAACUGUGAGGAAGGUGGGGAUGACGUCAAAUCAUCACGGCCCUUACGCCUUGGGCUACACACGUGCUACAAUGGCCGGUACAGAGAGCAGCCACUGGGCGACCAGGAGCGAAUCUAU